Molecule: ribosomal RNA, 272 nt
Filed under: uncultured Gammaproteobacteria bacterium
Lineage: Bacteria; Pseudomonadati; Pseudomonadota; Gammaproteobacteria
Description: partial 16S ribosomal RNA
Rfam family: Bacterial small subunit ribosomal RNA
Source: RNAcentral
AGUCGAACGUGAAAGCACUUCGGUGUGAGUAGAGUGGCGGACGGGUGAGUAACGCGUGGGAAUCUGCCCAGUAGUGGGGGACAACUACCGGAAACGGUAGCUAAUACCGCAUACGCCCUAUGGGGGAAAGGCUUCGGCCGCUAUUGGAUGAGCCCGCGUCAGAUUAGCUAGUUGGUAGGGUAAAGGCCUACCAAGGCAACGAUCUGUAGCUGGUCUGAGAGGACGAACAGCCACACUGGGACUGAGACACGGCCCAGACUCCUACGGGAGGC